AGCUAUAAGUUCUCUGUAGCGCAGCUAACGCAUUAAGCACUCCGCCUGGGGAGUACGACCGCAAGGUUGAAACUCAAAGGAAUUGACGGGGGCCCGCACAAGCGGUGGAGCAUGUGGUUUAAUUCGAAGCAACGCGAAGAACCUUACCAGGUCUUGACAUACUCGUGCUAUCCUUAGAGAUAAGGAGUUCCUUCGGGACACGGGAUACAGGUGGUGCAUGGUUGUCGUCAGCUCGUGUCGUGAGAUGUUGGGUUAAGUCCCGCAACGAGCGCAACCCUUAUUACUAGUUGCCAUCAUUAAGUUGGGCACUCUAGUGAGACUGCCGGUGAUAAACCGGAGGAAGGUGGGGAUGACGUCAAAUCAUCAUGCCCCUUAUGACCUGGGCUACACACGUGCUACAAUGGAUGGUACAACGAGUCGCCAACCCGCGAGGGUGCGCUAAUCUCUUAAAACCAUUCUCAGUUCGGAUUGCAGGCUGCAACUCGCCUGCAUGAAGUCGGAAUCGCUAGUAAUCGCGGAUCAGCACGCCGCGGUGAAUACGUUCCCGGGCCUUGUACACACCGCCCGUCACACCACGGAAGUUGGGAGUACCCAAAGUAGGUUG
RNAcentral lists this ribosomal RNA (604 nucleotides) under Lactococcus garvieae. Its description in RNAcentral is "bacterial SSU rRNA". It matches the Rfam family "Bacterial small subunit ribosomal RNA", at positions 828 to 1433 of the family's 1533-position model. The record is from RNAcentral. Lineage: Bacteria; Bacillati; Bacillota; Bacilli; Lactobacillales; Streptococcaceae.